Eutrema salsugineum is the source of this 1083-nucleotide RNA transcript. It is a transcript of the gene named paired amphipathic helix protein Sin3-like 2, with no coding region annotated. The record is from RefSeq and is a predicted model, not a curated record. Lineage: Eukaryota; Viridiplantae; Streptophyta; Magnoliopsida; Brassicales; Brassicaceae. The transcript has 4 exons.
UUCUCCCCUCGAAUAUUUUUUUUUUCGAUUCGUUCUUGUCUUCUCCGUUGAAGGCCACGAGUAUUUGAUUCUUCUCCGACGGUUUCUCCGACAGUGCGCGGUUCUCCGGUGGCUCUUGGCUUCCAAACCGCAAUCCCUCUGUGACGGCGCUCCAGAUAUGUGCAAUCUCCAAUUCCUGGGAGUGGUGGCACCGGAGGAGAGAGCAUUGGUGACAGGGGGAUAAACUCUCAGAAAUUGACUACUGAUGAUGCUUUGACGUACUUGAAGGAGGUCAAAGAGAGGUUUCAAGAUCAAAGGGACAAAUAUGAUAUGUUCCUUGAGGUUAUGAAAUAUUUUAAGGCACAAAGGACCGAAACAUCUGGUGUGAUUGCACGGGUGAAGGAGUUGUUCAAGGGGCAUAUCAAUUUGAUUUUCGGGUUUAACACCUUUUUGACUAAGGGAUUUGAAAUAACACUCGAUGAAGAAGAAGCUCCACCAAAGAAAACUGUUGAAUUUGAAGAAGCCAUACAUUUUGUAAAUAAGAUUAAGAAACGGUUCCAGCACGAUGAAGAUGUCACACUGAAAUUUCUCAAAUUUUUAUAGCUCUGAUAUCUGUUUGUUAGGUAUCGACUCUUUUUGAGGACCACCUGGAUUUGCUUGAAGAGUUUACUAGGUUUUUGCCUGAGUCUUUGGCUUCUCAUUCAGCAGCCCAGUCGAAUGUUAAUAGAGAAGGUAUGUUAUUGUUGUCAGGUCCCUCAUUUCUGUGCUGAUACGUUUUCAUCAUCAGGAUCACCGACGACGAGAAAGAGCUGUGGCUUCUCGGGGUGACCGUGAUCAUAGUGUUGACCGAUCCAACCAUAAUGAUGAUAAAGCAAUGGUUAAGAUGCACUGAGAGCAGAGGAAACACGUUGAUAAGGAGGAUAGAGAAAGGAGAUGCACCGAGAGCAGAGAAAACACGUUGAUAAGGAGAAUAGAGAAAAGACGAUGCACCAUGUUUUUUUUUAAAUCUCUUAAGAGUUUCUAUCGUUGUACGGACUAAAACUAAAGGUUUCUAAUCCAAGUGUUUUAAUCAACUUUAUGAUGAGAUAAUAAUAAAAUAUUGAC